GACGAACGCUGGCGGCGUGCUUAACACAUGCAAGUCGAACGGAAAGGCCCUGCUUUUGUGGGGUGCUCGAGUCGCGAACGGGUGAGUAACACGAGCGUAACCUGCCCUUGACUUUGGGAUAACUUACGGAAACUGGGGCUAAUACCGGCUAGGAGCUCCUGCUGCAUGGUGGGGGUUGGAAAGUUUCGGCGGUUGGGGAUGGACUCGCGGCUUAUCAGCUUGUUGGUGGGGUCGUGGCUUACCAAGGCUUUGACGGGUAGCCGGCCUGAGAGGGUGACCGGCCACAUUGGGACUGAGAUACGGCCCAGACUCCUACGGGAGGCAGCAGUGGGGAAUAUUGCACAAUGGGCGGAAGCCUGAUGCAGCAACGCCGCGUGCGGGAUGACGGCCUUCGGGUUGUAAACCGCUUUCGCCUGUGACGAAGCGUGAGUGACGGUAAUGGGUAAAGAAGCACCGGCUAACUACGUG
This 468-nucleotide ribosomal RNA is filed under the name uncultured bacterium. RNAcentral's name for it is "partial 16S ribosomal RNA". It matches the Rfam family "Bacterial small subunit ribosomal RNA", at positions 28 to 507 of the family's 1533-position model. The record is from RNAcentral.